RNAcentral lists this transfer RNA (71 nucleotides) under Mus musculus (house mouse). Its description in RNAcentral is "tRNA-Ala". The record is from RNAcentral. Lineage: Eukaryota; Metazoa; Chordata; Mammalia; Rodentia; Muridae.
GCGUUGGUAGUUUAACGGGAGAAUUCUCCACUGGCACGUGGGAGCCCUGGGUUUGAUUACCAGCCAGUACA